This 92-nucleotide transfer RNA is filed under the name Friedmanniomyces endolithicus. Its description in RNAcentral is "tRNA-Asn". It matches the Rfam family "tRNA". From Rfam's summary of the family: Transfer RNA (tRNA) molecules are approximately 80 nucleotides in length. Their secondary structure includes four short double-helical elements and three loops (D, anti-codon, and T loops). Further hydrogen bonds mediate the characteristic L-shaped molecular structure. tRNAs have two regions of fundamental functional importance: the anti-codon, which is responsible for specific mRNA codon recognition, and the 3' end, to which the tRNAs corresponding amino acid is attached (by aminoacyl-tRNA synthetases). tRNAs cope with the degeneracy of the genetic code in two manners: having more than one tRNA (with a specific anti-codon) for a particular amino acid; and 'wobble' base-pairing, i.e. permitting non-standard base-pairing at the 3rd anti-codon position. The record is from RNAcentral. Lineage: Eukaryota; Fungi; Ascomycota; Dothideomycetes; Mycosphaerellales; Teratosphaeriaceae.
UCCCUCGUGGCGCAAUUGGCUAGCGCGUUUGACUGUUAGCCGGCAACGGAAAGCAAAUCAGGAGGUUGGUGGUUCAAGCCCACCCGAGGGAG